RNAcentral lists this transfer RNA (77 nucleotides) under Ilumatobacteraceae bacterium. Its description in RNAcentral is "tRNA-Met". It matches the Rfam family "tRNA". Rfam says of the family: Transfer RNA (tRNA) molecules are approximately 80 nucleotides in length. Their secondary structure includes four short double-helical elements and three loops (D, anti-codon, and T loops). Further hydrogen bonds mediate the characteristic L-shaped molecular structure. tRNAs have two regions of fundamental functional importance: the anti-codon, which is responsible for specific mRNA codon recognition, and the 3' end, to which the tRNAs corresponding amino acid is attached (by aminoacyl-tRNA synthetases). tRNAs cope with the degeneracy of the genetic code in two manners: having more than one tRNA (with a specific anti-codon) for a particular amino acid; and 'wobble' base-pairing, i.e. permitting non-standard base-pairing at the 3rd anti-codon position. The record is from RNAcentral. Lineage: Bacteria; Bacillati; Actinomycetota; Acidimicrobiia; Acidimicrobiales; Ilumatobacteraceae.
GGGCCCAUAGCUCAGUUGGUUAGAGCAGGGGACUCAUAAUCCCUUGGUCGCAGGUUCGAGUCCUGCUGGGCCCACAA